Molecule: long non-coding RNA, 1290 nt
Filed under: Cyanistes caeruleus (blue tit)
Lineage: Eukaryota; Metazoa; Chordata; Aves; Passeriformes; Paridae
Description: lncRNA (ENSCCEG00000021238.1)
Source: RNAcentral
UUCUGAGCCGUGGAAAACCUCCCUGGAGGUCAAACUACAAUUAACUAACAAUACAGCCGGAAUUAAAAGGGAAAAGAUCCGCUCAGACAUUUCAUCUCCUACUGGAGUCACUUCUCACACAGCCUGGGGGCUGAGCACUCCCAGCCAGCUCCUCCUGCUUCCAGCCUGGCUGCCAGUGACGGGGACACAUCUGCGCCCCAUCCAGGUUCCACAGGAAACUCCUUCCGUCUUCCCAGGGAAGGAAGAGGGUGACAGAGAAGCAGGGAAGGGGAGGUGAAACCAUAACCAUGUUGAUGUUCAAAGGAAGCUCCCCAGCCCGGGGAUUUGCUGUUGAAUGCAGACUUUUGGCCACGUGAACUUUCCCUCGGUGACUCUGCAAAUCCUUACACUUAGCUUUUUUUGGGCGUCGAUUUCAAAAGACAUCUUGCCUCUGAGCGUGGGAUGCAGACGGGAAGGGCCUUUCUAAUUAACCCAGGAGGGAGAGCAUCCCUCUCGCCUGCUCUGACCCUGCACCAUUAGGGAAGGAGCAGGAUUGCCAGAGCUCCCCUAGAAAUGGCACCUUAAUCCGCCUCCCCAAAAUCCCCGACCCCUGAUCCGCGCAGAGACAACCAUUUUAAAGAGGCAGUGUCACGAUGUGCCACCUCCUUCUCAUAAGUGGUCACCUGCCAGCUCCGACUGAAGGCGUAAUUACCAUCCUUGAGGCCUGAUCCAUCUUAUUCCCCUUGAAGUCGAUGAGGAAACCUCCCCGACUCUGCUGGAAGCGGGCUGGUGAGUCGAAGGGCAGCACGUUUGCCAGAAGAUAAUUGGUUCAAACUCUGGCCAAGGAGCUUCUUGGAUCGUUGCUGGAGAUGCCAUGCGGCCGGAGGGUAGCUCUUCCAGUCAUCCCAUCAGGGAAGAGUUUAUUUGGAGGAGAGGGCCUCACCCUUCAGGAAAUCAAUAUUCCUUCCAGCUCUGCUUGUCCUUGUUCCCCUCUGGUGAUGGCAAGGCCUUUGGAGCACUCUCUGGGGCUGAUAUCCAUCAGAAGACCUCUGUGGCCAUGGGACACCUGAGUUCUGCUCCUUGAACCCCCAGCACUACACCGAGCCCCCUCGGGGCACCCAGGGAUCGCACAGAGCCCCGGGAUCCGGCAGCGACGUUCCCUUUGCCAACAAAGCUUGUUGGGCUCUUUCCUCUGCCUGUUCUCCAGCAGAGCCACCCAGACUGCCAGAACAGAGCCGAGCACUAUUUGGAAUUCAGAGGGCACCAUCAGUCCGUGUCAUUGGCAGGGAAUAAAUAAAUACCUCUUUGGAG